RNAcentral lists this ribosomal RNA (330 nucleotides) under uncultured bacterium. RNAcentral describes it as "bacterial SSU rRNA". It matches the Rfam family "Bacterial small subunit ribosomal RNA", at positions 568 to 898 of the family's 1533-position model. The record is from RNAcentral.
CGUGUAGGCGGCUCAUCAAGUCUGGUGUGAAAUCUUCAGGCUCAACCUGAGAUAUGCGCUGGAAACUGGUGGGCUUGAGUUCUUGAGGGGAAGCUGGAAUUCCAGGUGUAGGGGUGAAAUCUGUAGAUAUCUGGAAGAACACCGGUGGCGAAGGCGAGCUUCUAUCAAAGGACUGACGCUGAGGCGCGAAAGCGUGGGGAGCAAACAGGAUUAGAUACCCUGGUAGUCCACGCUGUAAACGAUGUGCACUAGGCGUGGGGCACGUACGUGCUCUGUGCCGUAGUUAACGCGAUAAGUGCACCGCCUGGGGAGUAUGCUCGCAAGGGUGAA